UCCUCCAAGGCUAAAUACUCCUGACUGACCGAUAGUGAACCAGUACCGUGAGGGAAAGGCGAAAAGAACCCCGGCGAGGGGAGUGAAAAAGAACCUGAAACCGUGUACGUACAAGCAGUGGGAGCACAGGUUUACCUGUGUGACUGCGUACCUUUUGUAUAAUGGGUCAGCGACUUAUAUUCUGUAGCAAGGUUAACCGUAUAGGGGAGCCGUAGGGAAACCGAGUCUUAACCGGGCGUUAAGUUGCAGGGUAUAGACCCGAAACCCGGUGAUCUAGCCAUGGGCAGGUUGAAGGUUGGGUAACACUAACUGGAGGACCGAACCGACUAAUGUUGAAAAAUUAGCGGAUGACCUGUGGCUGGGGGUGAAAGGCCAAUCAAACCGGGAGAUAGCUGGUUCUCCCCGAAAGCUAUUUAGGUAGCGCCUCGUGAAUUCAUCUCCGGGGGUAGAGCACUGUUUCGGCUAGGGGGCCAUCCCGGCUUACCAACCCGAUGCAAACUGCGAAUACCGGAGAAUGUUAUCACGGGAGACACACGGCGGGUGCUAACGUCCGUCGUGAAGAGGGAAACAACCCAGACCGCCAGCUAAGGUCCCAAAGUCAUGGUUAAGUGGGAAACGAUGUGGGAAGGCCCAGACAGCCAGGAUGUUGGCUUAGAAGCAGCCAUCAUUUAAAGAAAGCGUAAUAGCUCACUGGUCGAGUCGGCCUGCGCGGAAGAUGUAACGGGGCUAAACCAU
Molecule: ribosomal RNA, 735 nt
Filed under: Salmonella enterica
Lineage: Bacteria; Pseudomonadati; Pseudomonadota; Gammaproteobacteria; Enterobacterales; Enterobacteriaceae
Description: partial 23S ribosomal RNA
Rfam family: Bacterial large subunit ribosomal RNA
Source: RNAcentral